Molecule: ribosomal RNA, 407 nt
Filed under: uncultured bacterium
Lineage: Bacteria
Description: partial 16S ribosomal RNA
Rfam family: Bacterial small subunit ribosomal RNA
Source: RNAcentral
AUUGAACGCUGGCGGCAGGCCUAACACAUGCAAGUCGAGCGGAGCGGCGGACGGGUGAGUAAUGCCUAGGAAUCUGCCUGGUAGUGGGGGAUAACGUCCGGAAACGGGCGCUAAUACCGCAUACUAUCAGAUGAGCCUAGGUCGGAUUAGCUAGUUGGUGGGGUAAAGGCCUACCAAGGCGACGAUCCGUAACUGGUCUGAGAGGAUGAUCAGUCACAAUGGAAGUGGGACAGGGUCCGACCUCCGGCGGGCGCAGGCGGGGGGGAAUAUUGGAAUAUGGCCGAAAGCUGGAUCCAGCCAGGCCGCGUGUGGAAAGAAGGUUUCCGGUUUGUAAAGCUCUUUAAUUGGGGAGGCGUCACCAACAGAAUAAGCACCUGCAAACUUCGUGCCAGCAGCCGCGGUAAUUC